RNAcentral lists this long non-coding RNA (455 nucleotides) under Pan troglodytes (chimpanzee). RNAcentral's name for it is "long non-coding RNA NONPTRT005486". The record is from RNAcentral. Lineage: Eukaryota; Metazoa; Chordata; Mammalia; Primates; Hominidae.
CCAGGCUGUGGUUGUGACCUGAGGACGCGUGUGUCCCCGCCCCCAGGCCACCGCUACGCGACCCUGAGUGCACCUUCAAGAAGGCCGGGCACGUUUCUGGGCGGGCGUGGGGGGUGCCUGAUAUCUCCGCUCUAUUUUACAGUUACUCCCCUGCUGGUGCCUCCCUCCUUGGCGCGCUUCCCACCUGCGAUCGGCGCCCUCUUCGCAGUCACGAACUCGCCAGCAGCUAGCAGCACUGACUAGUAGGAGGGCCCGCCGGAGGAGAGGACAUACUCUGGAGUCAGAAGACAGCGAAAAGAGAAGCAGAAGCCCCGGUGGCAAGAGUCUGAAGCAGGAAGGAUGACUGUAGCCUGUGGAUUGUACUGCAGUAGGAAACUGUCCUAGCAAGGCUCCACCUUGCCCCAGCUUCAAGGUAUAUCGUCUCAAAAUGCAGGGGACUUCAGAUGAGUUUUGAG